Molecule: long non-coding RNA, 603 nt
Filed under: Glycine max (soybean)
Lineage: Eukaryota; Viridiplantae; Streptophyta; Magnoliopsida; Fabales; Fabaceae
Description: long non-coding RNA (GMAX_LNC002338)
Source: RNAcentral
AAAUUUUCUGUGUAACUGAAAAAUAUUUAUGUUAAAUUGAAAACUAUAUAUACAAGCGAAGGAGAACAUGAAUCAUGGUAAAUCAUUUACUUUUAAAAUAAUUAAAUCCUAAAGAUAUAUUGUUGAAACCCACCAAUUUAUUUACACAUUUUGAUAUGAUUCAAACUAAAUAACCUCGAUAUACGGCUCUCUUUGUUGAGGAAGCAACUAAAUAUGUCGAUAUGAAACUAAUUCUACCUCCUUCUCCACCAUUUAUUAUGAAUGUUUGCUUGUCCCCAAGGCAUUGGUUGUAGCAACAAAAAUAAAAGAAAUUAUUAUAUACUAUAAAUGCAUACAAAAGAAAUUGUAGAGUCGAAAAAAGAAAAAAGAACAUCCACCUUCCCCAUUGCCUUUGUUUCAAUCAACAACUUCCUUUGCUAUGAAAUCCCUAGCUAACUCUUGCAUUCACAUAAGCUUAGAAAUCAAUGGCCUUGAACCAAUGUACUCCCGCCCCUUUUCCUCUCCAAAGACCAUCACUACAAUUAUAAAGUGGAAGGAGAACGUGAAACACUAUUUGAAGAGAGUGGAGAGAAGGUAGAGGGUGUUUGAAGAGUGUGAAAAAAU